AUUCCAUUGUUGGGGGGGUGGGAGGAAUUCUAUUAAAAAGUAUGUUUGACUAUUUCAUAUUGUCCCAAGUCUCUGGGGUGCCCUAUCCCUUUUUUCUUACUCUAUUUGUGUUUGAGCUUGAGUGAUUUCUAUUGACAUAUCUUCAAGUUCACUAAUUCUUUCCUCGUGGGGCAUAUUAAAGUUUACACAAGUCCAAACUUCUUCACCAUCUUUAACUCCCCUUUCAGGACUAAGUGUGGAUUGAUGAUUAGUAGAUCUCCCUGGAAAAUAAUAGUCACCAUCCCUUUUCCUAGUUUUCUCUAUCUCCAGGUCCUAAAAGAACUUUUCUGAUUUUAGGGAAACCAAAAUGAAAACUAAUUCAGGAAAUAUACCAUUUUGUAUUUUUUUUUUUUUUUUUUUUCCAUUUUGUAUUCUUUUACUGCAACAUGCUGGCUUGGAUCAGAGAACUCAGCAUAUGGAUCAGGUCUACUCUACUUAUACUCUUUCCACUUCUUACUGAACAUACCUACCCACAGACCAAGUAGUAGCAACCCAGUGGUAUGCUGGAGCCUGUUCAUCCUGGCUGUUGCCCAUACCAGAGGAGGCUGACAUAUAAACCUGUGAUCAUGCCUGAAGGACCACACGCAACAGUACAUGAGAGGAUGGAAGGUGGAGGUGAGGCAGAGUGCAUAGGUACAUACAUCUACAUGCUCAUAAUACUUUCAGUUUUGUAAUUACAAAAAAUUUUUUACAAAUUACAAAAAAUUUGCUCAUAAUACUUUCAGUUUUGUAAUUAUCAGCCAAAAUGUUUUAAAGAUUUAUUUUUUAUUUAUUUAUUUAUUUAUUUAUUUAUUUAUUUAUUUAUUUAUUUAUUUAUUUAUUGAGAGAGCAUGUGUAAGCAUGCAUAACUGGGAGGAGGGGCAGAGGGAGAGACUUUCCAAGCAGACUCCCAGCUGAGCGAGGAGCCUCACACAGGGCUCAAUCCCAUGUCCCAUGAGAUCAUGACCUGAACCCAAACCAAGAAUUGGACACUUAACCACCCAGCAGCCAUUUCCGACAUGUUUUAAACAAAAUGGUGGGAACUUGGCAUUCAUUUUUAUUACUAAACUUAUUAUUAUUCAACACAAUUAGAGGUUACAAGAAGAAAGUAUCGUUAACAGUAAUAUUCAGGAAUAGCAUGUCCUGGUUUUCUGCCAAGAACUUCCACUAAGCCCCAGAUUUCCUGUGGUUCUUGAUUAUGUUCCUGAUCUUUCUUUUUUCCAUUUAAAUCAUAUACAGUAAAAGAGGGCUCCUGAUUAUUUGGGGGCUGACUAUCCAGUCCACUGCUUCUUUUUGGUCACCUACACUACCUAAAAUAUCACCUCAUUUAUUCAGCCAAGUGAGGAAAUAUGAGAAAAGAUCAAACUAUAUGACAGUUUAGGAAGAAGAAGCAGUUUGUUACAUUUUUAUACUAAAAUCAUCUAUUACCGAUGGGAGGAGCAAGAUGGCGGAAGAGCAGGGUCCCCAAAUCACCUGUCUCCACCAAACUACCUAGAAAACCUUCAAAUUAUCCUGAAAAUCUAC
RNAcentral lists this long non-coding RNA (1542 nucleotides) under Canis lupus familiaris (dog). Its description in RNAcentral is "lncRNA (ENSCAFG00845002327.1)". The record is from RNAcentral. Lineage: Eukaryota; Metazoa; Chordata; Mammalia; Carnivora; Canidae.